RNAcentral lists this ribosomal RNA (477 nucleotides) under uncultured bacterium. RNAcentral describes it as "partial 16S ribosomal RNA". It matches the Rfam family "Bacterial small subunit ribosomal RNA", at positions 28 to 507 of the family's 1533-position model. The record is from RNAcentral.
GAUAAACGCUGGCGGCGUGCAUAACACAUGCAAGUCGAACGAUGAAACUUAACUGAUUUCUUCGGAAUGAUUUUAAGUGGAUUAGUGGCGGACGGGUGAGUAACGCGUGAGUAACCUGCCUUGCACAAGGGGAUAGCCGUUGGAAACGACGAAUAAUACCCUAUGAUAUAAACUCUUCGCAUGAAGAGCUUAUCAAAGAUUUAUCGGUGUAAGAUGGACUCGCGUCUGAUUAGCUAGUUGGUGGGGUAACAGCCUACCAAGGCAACGAUCAGUAGCCGGCUUGAGAGAGUGUACGGCCACAUUGGGACUGAGACACGGCCCAGACUCCUACGGGAGGCAGCAGUGGGGAAUUUUGCACAAUGGGGGCAACCCUGAUGCAGCGACGCCGCGUGAUUUAGAAGGCCUUCGGGUUGUAAAAAUCUUUUGUAUGGGAAGAAAAUGACAGUACCAUACGAAUAAGGACCGGCUAAUUACGUG